RNAcentral lists this ribosomal RNA (200 nucleotides) under uncultured bacterium. RNAcentral's name for it is "partial 16S ribosomal RNA". It matches the Rfam family "Bacterial small subunit ribosomal RNA", at positions 29 to 258 of the family's 1533-position model. The record is from RNAcentral.
AGCGAACGCUGGCGGCAGGCCUAACACAUGCAAGUCGAACGAAGUCUUCGGACUUAGUGGCGGACGGGUGAGUAACACGUGGGAACGUACCUUUUGGUUCGGAACAACUCAGGGAAACUUGAGCUAAUACCGAAUGUGCCCUUGGGGAAAGAUUUAUCGCCAUUAGAGCGGCCCGCGUUAGAUUAGCUAGUUGGUGGGGU